This 57-nucleotide transfer RNA is filed under the name Odocoileus virginianus texanus. It matches the Rfam family "tRNA", at positions 8 to 63 of the family's 71-position model. From Rfam's summary of the family: Transfer RNA (tRNA) molecules are approximately 80 nucleotides in length. Their secondary structure includes four short double-helical elements and three loops (D, anti-codon, and T loops). The record is from Rfam by way of RNAcentral. Lineage: Eukaryota; Metazoa; Chordata; Mammalia; Artiodactyla; Cervidae.
UAGCUCAGUCGGUAAAGAAUCUGCCUGCAAUGCAGGAGACCCGGGUUCAAUCCCUGG